This 400-nucleotide ribosomal RNA is filed under the name uncultured bacterium. Its description in RNAcentral is "bacterial SSU rRNA". It matches the Rfam family "Bacterial small subunit ribosomal RNA", at positions 415 to 807 of the family's 1533-position model. The record is from RNAcentral.
CCUUCGGGUUGUAAAGCUCUUUUGUCAGGGAAGAAACGGCUGUGGCUAAUAUCCUCGGCUAAUGACGGUACCUGAAGAAUAAGCACCGGCUAACUACGUGCCAGCAGCCGCGGUAAUACGUAGGGUGCAAGCGUUAAUCGGAAUUACUGGGCGUAAAGCGUGCGCAGGCGGUUUUGUAAGUCUGACGUGAAAUCCCCGGGCUUAACCUGGGAAUUGCGUUGGAGACUGCAAGGCUAGAAUCUGGCAGAGGGGGGUAGAAUUCCACGUGUAGCAGUGAAAUGCGUAGAGAUGUGGAGGAACACCGAUGGCGAAGGCAGCCCCCUGGGUCAAGAUUGACGCUCAUGCACGAAAGCGUGGGGAGCAAACAGGAUUAGAUACCCUGGUAGUCCACGCCCUAAAC